Molecule: ribosomal RNA, 482 nt
Filed under: uncultured bacterium
Lineage: Bacteria
Description: bacterial SSU rRNA
Rfam family: Bacterial small subunit ribosomal RNA
Source: RNAcentral
AUUGAACGCUGGCGGCAGGCCUAACACAUGCAAGUCGAGCGGUAACAGGAAGUAGCUUGCUACUUUGCUGACGAGCGGCGGACGGGUGAGUAAUGCCUGGGAAUUUGCCCAUUCGAGGGGGAUAACAGUUGGAAACGACUGCUAAUACCGCAUACGCCCUACGGGGGAAAGGAGGGGACCUUCGGGCCUUCCGCGAAUGGAUAAGCCCAGGUGGGAUUAGCUAGUAGGUGAGGUAAUGGCUCACCUAGGCGACGAUCCCUAGCUGUUCUGAGAGGAUGAUCAGCCACACUGGGACUGAGACACGGCCCAGACUCCUACGGGAGGCAGCAGUGGGGAAUAUUGCACAAUGGGGGAAACCCUGAUGCAGCCAUGCCGCGUGUGUGAAGAAGGCCUUCGGGUUGUAAAGCACUUUCAGCAGUGAGGAAGGGGUGGUUAAUACCGCCUUUGACGUUAGCUGCAGAAGAAGCACCGGCUAACUCCGU